This 423-nucleotide ribosomal RNA is filed under the name Streptomyces sp. RNAcentral describes it as "bacterial SSU rRNA". It matches the Rfam family "Bacterial small subunit ribosomal RNA", at positions 356 to 796 of the family's 1533-position model. The record is from RNAcentral. Lineage: Bacteria; Bacillati; Actinomycetota; Actinomycetes; Kitasatosporales; Streptomycetaceae.
UGGAGGGCUGGUCUGGGCGAGCCUGAUGCAGCGACGCCGCGUGAGGGAUGACGGCCUUCGGGUUGUAAACCUCUUUCAGCAGGGAAGAAGCGAGAGUGACGGUACCUGCAGAAGAAGCGCCGGCUAACUACGUGCCAGCAGCCGCGGUAAUACGUAGGGCGCAAGCGUUGUCCGGAAUUAUUGGGCGUAAAGAGCUCGUAGGCGGCUUGUCGCGUCGGAUGUGAAAGCCCGGGGCUUAACCCCGGGUCUGCAUUCGAUACGGGCAGGCUAGAGUUCGGUAGGGGAGAUCGGAAUUCCUGGUGUAGCGGUGAAAUGCGCAGAUAUCAGGAGGAACACCGGUGGCGAAGGCGGAUCUCUGGGCCGAUACUGACGCUGAGGAGCGAAAGCGUGGGGAGCGAACAGGAUUAGAUACCCCGGUAGUCA